CAGAGGGUGCGAGCGUUGUCCGGAAUCACUGGGCGUAAAGGGCGCGUAGGUGGCGACCCAAGUCAAUGGUGAAAGCUCGAUGCUUAACAUCGAGUCGGCCACUGAUACUGGGUUGCUGGAGCACUGUAGAGGCUCAUGGAAUUCCGGGUGUAGCGGUGGAAUGCGUAGAGAUCCGGAAGAACACCGGUGGCGAAGGCGGUGAGCUGGGCAGUUGCUGACACUGAGGCGCGACAGCGUGGGGAGCAAACAGGAUUAGAUACCCUGGUAGUCCACGCCGUAAACGAUGGGCACUAGAUGCUUGGGGGAGCGACCCCCUGAGUGUCGACGCUAACGCAUUAAGUGCCCCGCCUGGGGAGUACGGCCGCAAGGCUG
RNAcentral lists this ribosomal RNA (372 nucleotides) under uncultured organism. Its description in RNAcentral is "bacterial SSU rRNA". It matches the Rfam family "Bacterial small subunit ribosomal RNA", at positions 526 to 896 of the family's 1533-position model. The record is from RNAcentral.